RNAcentral lists this unclassified non-coding RNA (989 nucleotides) under Hevea brasiliensis (rubber tree). The record is from RNAcentral. Lineage: Eukaryota; Viridiplantae; Streptophyta; Magnoliopsida; Malpighiales; Euphorbiaceae.
UUAAAAUCGAAAGGAAAAUGGAGGAAAUACAUUUCAAGUACUUUCUCAUACAUACAAUUUCUAAGAAAGACACCCAAAAAAUGUUAUAUUGAUAUUCCUUCUCAAAUAAAUCACUACAUACAUACAACUUACAAGCCAAUGAUAUAUAGACAGUUGCCCCUUCACAAUUCUUUGCCAAAAGCCCAGAUUUCCAUUAAUUACAAUGUACUCAUUUCUCCCUAUACAUUCCAAUAUCAAUGCAACUAUCCCAUCAGACCAAAAUCUCAUCAUCAGAAAUACAUUCCCUGCAACUUGCCUUUUAUGUGUACAUACAUCACAAAAACACAUACAUUCUUUUCACUCUUCAAUCAGGGUGCCCGUGAAUCGAGAGAGAGAGGGUAUUUCAGCCUGCUAGUUCUCUGUAAUUCUUGCGGAUGCUCCAUAGAAUCUCGGCACAUUUUCUCAUGGUAGGCCGGUUCUGUCGAUGAGGAGCCAAACAUUGCAAAGCUAGUUCAUAAAUUUUUUCCAUGGCCAAACUAUUUGCAGCAGAUCUUUCUAACCUUGGAUCCAAAGUUAAGAUUGCAUCUCCACUGGUGAACUUCUUCAUUGCCCAUCUUGCAGUAAUGCGCUCUUUAAUUUCUUUCUUUGGCUCGAUAGGCCGCCUUCCCGUAACAAGUUCCACAAGUAAAACACCGAAUGAAUAGACAUCACUCUUCUCAGUAAGUUGAUAGGUACUUAGGUAUUCAGGGUCUAAGUAGCCUGCAGUCCCUUUAACUUGGGUAGAAACAUGUGUGGCUCCUGACUCAGUGUCAGCUGCUAGCCUUGCAAAACCAAAAUCGGCCACCUUAGCUCGAAGGUUUUCAGUGAGGAGAAUAUUAGAAGACUUGAUGUCUCGAUGGAUAAUAGGGUGAUCUGUAUACAUAUGCAAAUAUGUAAUUGCAUGUCCUACAUCUAUUCCAAUGUCUAGUCUUGACGCGAAAUCAAGAACAUUUCCAUCAACACUAUCCAAG